CACAUUUGUGGCACAGUAUGACGAGGUGUGAGAGCAUUUUUUACUUGGUUCAUCUGGCAUUUCAAAUUGCACACCGAGAAGAAAGCUUCCUCGGAUUUCACUGACAUAUCCAAACUAAGGAACUUAAAUGUGCCAAAUGGAUCGCACAGGAUAACCAACUAUGCAACAGUGAUGGAAAAAGAUCUUCCAGUGGGAGGGGUGUCAUUCACCUCACCUUUAACCUCGUGGCUGUGUAUAGAUCCAGCACCUACCAGCUUUCAGCAGAGGAUUAAACAGCUAAUGACAGAGAAGUGCUGUGAUUGACAAGUUAAGGUUUCCUUCCUCGUCAGAAGGGCCUUUGUGUUUGUCUCUUGCCCAUUUCUUCCCAGAACUCACAUUUCACAUUCCACCGUGACUUGAACAAUUUCUAAAUUUCUUCAUUGUGAAAUAGCUACAAGUGAAUCUGAAGCUACUCUAUUCACACCUUAAAAAAAGCCUUUACAUUGAAUUAUGAAUAAGUCUUAUUUAAAGUCAUCACACUGCUGUUUGUCUGCUUUGAACCAGGUUUUCUCACAUUGCAUGUCCACUGUUCAUCAGUGCAGCAAACAUCUACAGUCUACUGCAGUCAUCGUCUCAGAUGAGGGAAUUUUCAGCCCCAGUGAAACAUGUGGGAGUCCCUUUCGGCACUGCUGCACUGACACGUGAAAGUCUAUGAAACAGCAAUCAAGACAUCGGUAGCACAGAGGCCAGAGCCAAGUGAACCCAGUCCCAGAGAUCGGGACCCAGAGAUGGCCCGUGAAAUGAGUUGGAGUUGGAAAACCACCGGAGGGAUAUGCCACGCUCUACUGCCAAUUUCACUAUCAUAAUCAGCCUCAGCUUAUAGAGUGAUAUUAUAAGCCUGGCUAUUUUCGCUGACACUUUUGCUCCUUUUUUCUUUUUUUGGCGCAGAUGAUAAGGAAGAUGAUACGAUUUAUGCAGCGACUGAACUGUAGAUUCUGCAAUAAAAAAAAAUAAAGAAUGAAGCUGUUGAUUCGAACUCACAAAUAUCUGCUACGAGCUUGAUGCCUGGGUAAUGAGUGAUGGUGAAGAACUUCAUUACAUAAGCAUAUGUGUCUCAAGUAAAAGACUUGACAAAAUAAGUUGUCAUCAAACCAUCAGCAGAGUCCUUCUAAAGUUUGAAAGGGCGCCCAUUAACCAAGGCCAAAUUGAAUCCAGAUGUUGUCAAGAAGGUUAUCGCUCUAAAAUAAAUGUUGUCUCAGCAUGUUGAUAUGCUUCUUAUACUCCUAUAAAAUAUAAUUAUGCAACCACAACAAAGCCACUCAAGUUAAUGAACCAACAGAAGUCUUGGUCUUCCUGUGGAUCUUUUUAAUCGAUGUGGUUGCUUUGCUAAAACCUCCACGUUUUCUGUCUCACUGGCCAUAUGUCAAAAAGGGAAUCGAAAGCUUCAAAGAAGGUGACAGGGUUUUAGAUUUCUGCAACAGUCUCUUUUUUUAAGUGGGGCUUAUUAUAAACCAAAUCUGCACUUAAAUGAAUAAAUCAUAGCAGGUAAAGUACAGCUUAUGAUUUCUCACUUUGUUUUUAUUGCUGUAGGAUGAACUGUAGGAUGAACUGAUUUCUCAGAAUUACCCGAAGCCAUGCGGCUGACAUAUCAGAAAAACCCAAAACAUCAUCAUGCAGUCCCUUUUAUCUCAGGAUCUGAUUUAUGUACACCACUACAGUAGCUAGUCACAUGACACGUGGACUAGUGGCCUGAUUUUUUUACUAUACCCAAAAAGGAAAUGGUGAACUUACGGAAAUAAUGAGAUUCUUGAAUCCACAUCAGAAUAAAGCACCCAUUAACCUAAGGAGACAUAGUAAGUAGUAACUAAUUAGAUUUUGGUUGGUGCUAAUUGCGUCUUCUAUUGGGCAGAAGGAGAUUUAUGGACAUUAAGGAGGUCAACCUGAUGAGUUUUGUUCUGAUUUAACAGCGACUCAUUAUUAACUUGUUCCCAAGUUAUUUAUCAUGAUUUAUUAUUUACUAGAGAUCUUUCUCCAACAUUUGGUUUGUUAAUUCUUUAAUUCCUGAGGAUUUUGCUUAGUUUGUAUGAAUACUUUGUCUUUGUUCUAGAUGCAAAAAGCAAAUAGGCAUACGCCAUCGACAACUUUGAUUUCAUUGAACUGACCUUUCAAAAUGUAGGUCACUAUGUUUAUACCCUGUUCAGAGACCACUAUGAGCAAUUCUGUGAUGGUGUUAUUUUUGUGACUGUUAUUGAGUUUCUUUAUAUGUAUUUAAUUUUCAUAUGCAACAUGUUUCAAAACACAUCUGGAUGUAUUUACAUGAAUGCAUACCUGUUUGUAGAAUGUUUAUUUUUAUCAGUUGUACUUUUAAUUGUAUGCUUUGUUUAUGGGGAAGUUUUGCUGUUUAAAGAAAUUUCAGAUUUUAGAUAAUAUACUGCACCCUUUCUUCCCUCUUUAUUAACCAAUUUGGUACCAUUGGAGGUACUGUGAAGAACCAGUUAUAUAUUUAUAUACUGGACUGCAUAUAUAUACUGGAUUGCAACCUAAGUACCAACCCCAUGAUUCUUUAGCCUGUAGCAUCUUUAGCUAUGAUAACUUUAAGUAAUAAUUUUUUGUAUGACUUUACAUGUCCCAUUUCUUUGUGGAAGAUUUUAGUCCAUUCUGCUACACAGCGUUACUUUGGUUCAUUGAAUUUUGCAAUCAUUCAUUUAUACAGAGCUUUUUAAAGGUCCCCCCACAGCAUUUCAGUUUGGUUAGGGUCUGAGCUUUGUUUCAUUGCAACACCUUGAUACUUUUUUAUUCUGUUUUAGAUCUGGUUGUUGUUGCACAAAACAAUUUCAGCUAAACUUUAGCCGUCGGACAGAUGGCCUGACAUCUGACUAUAGAAUACUUUGGUAUACAGAGAAGUUUAUGGUCAACUCACUGCAAUGUGGCUGCAAAAUGAACCACAAUCAACACCAAUCCACCUCUGUGUUGCUGUGAGGUGUUUUUUUUAUCUGAUAUGCUGGAUUUGUUUUUUAUCAAACGGGGCACUGUGAAUUACCUCCAAACAUCUCAGCUGUGGUCUCUUCUGUCUAAAGGACAUUGUUCCAGAUGUGUUGUAGUUUGUUCAGAUUUAGCGUUGCAGACCGCAAUGCUGCCAUGUUUAUUUUUAAGCAAAGAGGUUUUCUCCUGGCAAUCCUUAAAAACAAUCCAUACCCAUUUAGUCUUUUUUUCUAACUUCCUAACUUUGACCUUUAACAUGCUAACUGAGGCCUGUGGAGUCUGAGAUGUAGGCCUUGGAUGUUUUGCAAUUUCUUUGAGCAUUGCAUGGCCUGAACUUAGGGUGCAUUUGAUGUGAUGUUCACUCCCAGGAAGACUGUGCUAAUACACUCCUGAAUACUCCUGACCAACAAAGUGCCAAAACAUUUGCUUUUAUAGAGGCGCUCACACUAUACUGAUGAUCAUUUAAUCCUGUGUUUUCAAUUAGCAGCAUCUGGCUGCUACAUACUCUUUUAAUUCCUGUGGAAGUAGUAAGUGUGUACUUAGUUUUUUUUUACAAGAAUUGCAUAGAACCCUGUGAAAACUUUAUUUUUCACAUCACUAAAAUUCUCCCAGACACUUUUUUGAAGUGUUUUUUUUUCUAAAGCUUCACUGUGAAGAACCACUUUCAGUUCCAGUUUGCACAUUUGUUAUGUAUACAAAAUGUCAGUCAGUUUGGCAGUGGUACUAGGUUCCAGAUUUGAGUUUGGAGUUUUGGUGUUAGGUUGACACAUUUGGAAGUUGUUUCUUUAGUAGCAUUAUUCCAAAAUUUCUCUCACUAUGACAGUAUCUGCUGCACCAUACACAGAUCUUUUUUUUCCCCAACUUCAGUGCACUUCAUUUAUGAAAACUUUUAGGCUUUUAGAAAGAUGAAAACAUCCCGUAACAUUUUACUGCAAAUAAUAUUGUCACAGUACUUUAUAAUAAAAGUAAAUCUCUAAAAUCUUCUAAAGGUUAGUCAGUUCUGAAAUUCCUAACACAGAAAAGGGUUUUAAGUGAACAGCAUUAUGCAUUUAGAAAGAAUAUCUAUGCUAGAUCACCACUUGUCUGUUAUAUUGAAUACUACAGUAGGAGACCUUUGAAAAAUCUGCAUAUACAUAAAUAAGCUGUGUUCUUUAAUACGUCUCUGUGUUAAGAAUGUCCUUUCGUAAUAUAAAUCUUCAACAUAUUGCAUAGAUCUCUCAGCCACAGCCAGUGGUCUUCAUUCACUUUCAAACACAUCUGCCUUUGGUAUGAAUAUGGCUGUCAGUCCCAUGAAGACCAUCACAAUAGAACACACUCAUUAUUGUUGUAUUGCAUUGUGCUUCAGCAGCAAGCGAAUACCACCCUUGACUAAUUUUCUGUUUGUAUCAAGAAACAAAAGCUCUUCGAAUCUCCCCAUGGGCUCUGGAGUGGCUUUACUGCACAUCAAACUAUGCUAAUUACCUUUUGCAUGAUUAAUUGGACCAAUUAGAAUUAGUAGAGGAAGAAGAUGAUUCUUGGCAAGGUGCGAAACAUUAAUUAGUCAUAAAAAACGUUUAUUAGUGUUCAAAUUUAAUCUAGCAGAACACAAUGGGAUUAGGAGAAAAAGACAGUUAAUAAGUAGCGUGUUCAAUCACUCUUAGCUGCAGAUGAAAUAAUGAAUGUCACUGCUUACGCUGUGCUCGCUCAAACAUGCACACACAGACAACCUCCGUCUCUUACCAAAGCUAUUGUACUGUUGGAAAACACCCAUCUUCAUCCGUCAUACAAAGUGGCAGUUGUAACACAAACAUUCCCACUCUGAUUGAUGAGUCAAGACCAUACAAGCGACUUAUACACAGUAAUCCUGUAUAAGAUUUAUGGCCUGAAGAUGAUGCAUUAGAAAAAAAAGAAAAAAGAAAAGAAAUUUGCAAUAAAAGAAUCAACAACAGCACCAACAGUUGCAGCACCAGCAACUAAUGGCGAUUUAGCUGUGGCAGCAUUUAUAAUGGUAUAUGGCAUAUGUAAUAACAGCAUUGCGUGACAGUACUUCACAUGCUAUGUAAACCAUGGGAAAUGACAGCUGCAGGGCAGUUGUUUAUGCUGAUGAGAAAACAAGCAGGUACGUUAUGGGCAGUGAGGAGUGUGUGGGUGUUUCCUCACAUUUUGCACACUGAUGCAAUAAAAUAACACAGAGUGGCUUCACAUCGAGCAACACCUUGGCCUGUAAAAAAAUCUGCAGGCACGCAUGUAUAAAUAGUUGUUCAGGGCUGAUCACAGCACCAUAUCACUCUGUUGCAGAUCAAGGUUUGCGACUAUAUUUUCGAUGUAGCUCAAAAAAUGC
Long non-coding RNA from Haplochromis burtoni (Burton's mouthbrooder), 5281 nucleotides. RefSeq lists it as uncharacterized. The record is from RefSeq and is a predicted model, not a curated record. NCBI's taxonomy places the organism in Eukaryota, Metazoa, Chordata, Actinopteri, Cichliformes, Cichlidae. The transcript is spliced from 3 exons.